Molecule: ribosomal RNA, 2167 nt
Filed under: Triticum aestivum (bread wheat)
Lineage: Eukaryota; Viridiplantae; Streptophyta; Magnoliopsida; Poales; Poaceae
Description: partial small subunit ribosomal RNA
Source: RNAcentral
AUGGCACGACCUGGCUGCCCAAAAAAGUGUGGCAAUGUCAGCAUUCUGUACCCAUUCGGCACAGGAAAAGGCUGCUUCCAAGAACCCUUUAGUGCCACAUGCAAUGAGACCGGGGCAUAUCUGGCCUCAACCGAAGUUAGGGUACCGGAGAUCAGUCUUACUCUUGGUGAGGUUCGUGUUCAGAACCCACACAUAUCAUCGCGAUGCAACUAUACCAACGGCACCAAUAGCACUGGUUUCGACGCCUUAAUGCUUGAUCCUUUUCAUAAACUUUCCAACACCAAGAACAAGUUGACAUCAAUUGGGUGUGCUAUGCUUGCAAUGGUUGUCGGACUCACUAAGAGCAAGAAGCAGAUUGAGUACCCCACCGCCGGCACAUGCUUUUCAUUCUGCAUUGAUGCAAGUAGUAUCGAAGAUGGUUCAGAGUGCUCUGGCUUGGGUUGCUGCCAGGCCCCUGUGUCAGGAAAUGUCAGCUCAUUAGUCACCUUAUCCUUACCAGUACCAGAGUUUUACAACUCUACCAUCCAGUCUUUCAGUUCCUGCAGCUACUCAUUCGUUUCUGAGAAGGACUGGUUCAAGUUUGAUCGUUCCUAUGUUAACUCUACAAGGUUCGCAAGUACACAUACAGAUGGGGUUCCUUUGGUACUCGAUUGGGUUGUUGGUAAUGCAAGCUGUUCAGAAGCCACCAAGAUGGGAUCACAGUAUGCCUGUCAAGCCAUGAAUAGUGAAUGUAUUGAUGUGUCCAAUGGCCCUGGUUACCGCUGCAACUGCUCUCAAGGCCUAUGAGGGCAAUCCCUACCUACAAGGAGGGUGCCAAGACAUCAAUGAGUGUGUACCUCCAAACCAGUCAUUGUAUCCUUGCAAAGGUAAUUGCAUGAACACCGUGGGGAGCUACAACUGUUUGUGCCCAUCAGGAUUCAGAAGUGAUGAUCCAAAGAGCAUACCCUGCGUUCGAGCUGACCCAAACAAAACCCUGAAGAUAAUCUUAGGCAUAUCUGCUAGCAUCAUCUUCCUCAUGGUUUGCAUGUUUGCUCUACGGGCUGAAUAUCAGAAAACGAAGCUGGCAAAAGAGAAGGAAAGAUUCUUCGAUCAGAAUGAUGGUCAGAUACUGUACCAUCAAAUUAUGUCAAAACAAGUCGAUACAUUGAAGAUAUUCACGCAGGAUGAUCUGAAGAAGGCUACAAACGAUUUUGACAAGAGCAGAGAAGUGGGCAAGGGGGGUCACGGCACUGUCUACAAGGGCAUUCUUAAGGAUAACAAGGAAGUAGCCGUGAAACGCUCAAAGAUCAUGAACGUGGCCGAAACUGACGAGUUUGUGCAGGAGAUUAUUAUACUUUCACAAACCAACCACCGAAAUGUGGUCAGGCUUUUAGGGUGCUGCUUAGAGGUGGAAGUUCCGAUGCUGGUCUAUGAAUUCAUCCCGAAUGGCACUCUCUUUCAUUUUAUCCAUCGUAACUACGGAAGUCGACCUCCCUCACUGGACACCCGUCUUAGGGUCGCUCAAGAAUCUGCUGAAGCACUGGCGUAUCUGCAUCUGUCCACGAACCGCCCUAUAGUACACGGAGAUGUUAAGUCUAUGAACAUUCUCUUGGACGAGAACUACAUGGCGAAAGUGACCGACUUUGGGGCGUCAAGGAUGCUCCCCAAGGAUGAGGUUCAGUUCAUGACAUUGGUGCAGGGCACCAUGGGUUACCUGGACCCUGAGUACCUGCAGGAGCGGAAGCUAACAGAGAAGAGCGACGUUUACAGCUUUGGCGUUGUGCUGCUGGAACUGAUCACGGGGAAAACAGCCAUCUACCACGACGGCUCCAUGGAAGCCAAGAACCUCGCGUCGUCCUUCCUGCUCGCAAUGAAGGAUGGGAGCCUUGAUGGCAUCCUGGAUGCAAGCAUAGUUGGUGUCGGCUUGGAGAUGCUGCUGGGAGAAAUCGCCGAACUGACGAGGAUGUGCUUGAGCACCAUGGGGGAAGAGAGACCUUCCAUGACCCAGGUGGCUGACAAGCUAAAGGCUCUGCGAAGCGCAUGGAGGGAGAAACUGGUGCUUGACCAUGGCAAAGCAGAGUGUCUGGUCAAGUUCUCCUCACCUGCAGUGCUUCUUGAUCCUCCAUCAUCGAGCACGUUCUCAACAGGGCCCCACAUGUCUGGAAUAGGUAUAGAGACACCCAGGUGA